AUUGAACGCUGGCGGCAGGCCUAACACAUGCAAGUCGAGCGGAUGAAGGGAGCUUGCUCCUGGAUUCAGCGGCGGACGGGUGAGUAAUGCCUAGGAAUCUGCCUGGUAGUGGGGGAUAACGUCCGGAAACGGGCGCUAAUACCGCAUACGUCCUGAGGGAGAAAGUGGGGGAUCUUCGGACCUCACGCUAUCAGAUGAGCCUAGGUCGGAUUAGCUAGUUGGUGGGGUAAAGGCCUACCAAGGCGACGAUCCGUAACUGGUCUGAGAGGAUGAUCAGUCACACUGGAACUGAGACACGGUCCAGACUCCUACGGGAGGCAGCAGUGGGGAAUAUUGGACAAUGGGCGAAAGCCUGAUCCAGCCAUGCCGCGUGUGUGAAGAAGGUCUUCGGAUUGUAAAGCACUUUAAGUUGGAAGGAAGGGCAGUAAGUUAAUACCUUGCUGUUUUGACGUUACCAACAGAAUAAGCACCGGCUAACUUCG
Molecule: ribosomal RNA, 482 nt
Filed under: uncultured bacterium
Lineage: Bacteria
Description: partial 16S ribosomal RNA
Rfam family: Bacterial small subunit ribosomal RNA
Source: RNAcentral